GCAGAAGGAAACAAGUAGCACCUCUGGAAUGCGUGAGACUGUUGAAACUAGUGCACUCAUAGAACACAGGGCAAAGGAAGUAGUUCCAAAGCGAAUAAUUCAGAUGGAAGAAGCCAUACAAAAACGUGAUUUUGCAACUUUCACUCAUUUGACUUGUGCAGACAGCAAUCAGUUUCAUGCAGUCUGCCUGGAUACUAGCCCUCCUAUAUUCUACAUG
RNAcentral lists this unclassified non-coding RNA (217 nucleotides) under Hevea brasiliensis (rubber tree). The record is from RNAcentral. Lineage: Eukaryota; Viridiplantae; Streptophyta; Magnoliopsida; Malpighiales; Euphorbiaceae.